GGCGCGGGGGACAACACCGACAACACACUCAAGAGACGCUCGAGAGAUUUAUUCACCUUCGCUCAGAUGGAAGGGGAGCGACUUAAGACACUACUGAUCGACAAUCGGACAGAAGCCAUGCGCAACAUACUGUGAUAUUUGUAUAUAAAUAUUUAAUUGAUAGCGCAUGAAAGGGAAAUGGUGAUUGCUGAAGGUUGUUGGUGUACUUAAGUUAAGUCAAUUUAAAGAUAUAUUUCAAAUUAUAAGAUCCAGGAUGCAAUAAAGAGUGUUGUAAUUGUU
Dalotia coriaria is the source of this 279-nucleotide long non-coding RNA. RefSeq lists it as uncharacterized. Lineage: Eukaryota; Metazoa; Arthropoda; Insecta; Coleoptera; Staphylinidae. The transcript is spliced from 2 exons. The record is from RefSeq and is a predicted model, not a curated record.